AGAGUUUGAUCAUGGCUCAGGACGAACGCUGGCGGCGUGCCUAACACAUGCAAGUCGAGCGGGGAUGAGCUAGUCAGCUUGCUGAUUGGCUUAUCCUAGCGGCGGACGGGUGAGUAACGCGUGAGCAACCAACCUUGUACUGGGGGAUAACAGCUGGAAACAGCUGCUAAUACCGCAUAAGACUACGGCACCGCAUGGUGCUGUAGUAAAAGGUGCCGGAAGGCGCCGGUACAAGACGGGCUCGCGUCCCAUUAGCUAGUUGGUGGGGUAACGGCCUACCAAGGCGACGAUGGGUAGCCGGCCUGAGAGGGUGUACGGCCACACUGGGACUGAGACACGGCCCAGACUCCUACGGGAGGCAGCAGUGGGGGAUAUUGUGCAAUGGGGGAAACCCUGGCGCAGCGACGCCGCGUGAGCGAGGAAGGCCUUCGGGUCGUAAAGCUCUGUCCCUGGGGACGAAUUAAGUGACGGUACCUGGGGAGGAAGCCCCGGCUAACUACGUGCCAGCAGCCGCGGUAAUACGUAGGGGGCGAGCGUUGUCCGGAGUUACUGGGCGUAAAGGGUGCGUAGGCGGCCUAUUAAGUCAGGUGUGAAAAACCCUGGCUCAACCGGGGUAUUGCACUUGAAACUGGUGGGCUUGAGUGCAGGAGAGGGAAGCGGAAUUCCUGGUGUAGCGGUGAAAUGCGUAGAUAUCAGGAGGAACACCAGUGGCGAAGGCGGCUUCCUGGCCUGUAACUGACGCUGAGGCACGAGAGCGUGGGGAGCAAACAGGGUUAGAUACCCUGGUAGUCCACGCUGUAAACGAUGGAUACUAGGUGUAGGGGGCGAUUUAGCCUUCUGUGCCGAAGUUAACGCAAUAAGUAUCCCGCCUGGGGAGUACGGCCGCAAGGUUGAAACUCAAAUGAAUUGACGG
RNAcentral lists this ribosomal RNA (913 nucleotides) under uncultured bacterium. RNAcentral describes it as "bacterial SSU rRNA". It matches the Rfam family "Bacterial small subunit ribosomal RNA", at positions 8 to 916 of the family's 1533-position model. The record is from RNAcentral.